UAUAAUUAAAUGUAUGAAACAUAUUAAAUUUUGAUUUUAAUUAUAAUAGUUUAAUUCUAUUAAUUAUAA
This 69-nucleotide transfer RNA is filed under the name Amblyjoppa sp. ZJUH_2016002. RNAcentral's name for it is "tRNA-Gln". The record is from RNAcentral. Lineage: Eukaryota; Metazoa; Arthropoda; Insecta; Hymenoptera; Ichneumonidae.